This is a long non-coding RNA of Lingula anatina, 1941 nucleotides long. NCBI's taxonomy places the organism in Eukaryota, Metazoa, Brachiopoda, Lingulata, Lingulida, Lingulidae. The record is from RefSeq and is a predicted model, not a curated record.
AAUAGACAGGAAAUGACAGCUGCAGGAAUAUCCCUUCAUCUCACACAGUUAUGGAGACACAGCAAGUUUCAGGAUGAAUGGGUUGUGAAGAGACAGAGACAGGACAGCCAUGGUAAACAGGGAACUGGACUUCUUGCAGCUCCAGUCUCCAUACAGCAUGGUGUCUUCUAGGUGAACUGACUUUACCUGGCUGAACAUGGAGGACGUAUUUUAUAUGAAGCAGAAAUAAAAAGACAGCAACAGGAACAUCUUCAUCUCACCCAGUUGUGCAAGACGCGGGAUGUGACAAGUUUUAAGAUGAAUGAACAGCCAGAGACAGGACAGCCAUUGUAAACAGAUAACUGGACCUCUUGCAGAUAGCAUACAAAUGUUUGUGGUUGUUUUUUUAUACAAAUAACGAUAGAGAGUGCUGCCAGAACCACCCAGAACAAGACUUCCAAACACGACAGAUCCUGUGGAGCCAGUUAUAUGGAACAGUCAAAUUACACAACAAAUGUGGGUUCCAGGUAACACAAAGAAUCAAUUUCCCCCAUAUGCAUGGAAUCUAUAGAGGCUGGGUAUAUAAAGCAAGGAGAUUGUGUUGGACAAUUCUCUAUCACUGAAAACAAAUAGACAUAUUGGAAAUGUUUAAGAGUGAAUUGAUAUUUCAGCUCAAGGUCGAUGCGUUAUAACGAUGCGUUUUAAUAAUUUUUCCCAUGUGCAUGGAAUCUGUUUCAGUGCUAGCUAUAUAUAUAUAUAGUAGAGAUAGCAUAUACAGUGAGAUUGUAGAAGACAAUAAACCUUCACUGAAGAGAAAAGGACACCAGUGAAAAUGUUUAAAUGUGAAUAUAUAUUUCAGGUCAGAUAUGAUGUGUUAUAGAUGAUCACUGUUAUUGCGAGUUCAUUAAGGUAUAAUUGCAAGUUUUAUCACAUAUUUAUUAUAUACAGACACUCAGUCUGUCUAUAUUCUGAUCACUGUGUCUGUCCAGUGUCAUUGCCAUAGUCAGCACUUUCUGACAUAUCUGUUGUUUACCCUAAAACUGAUUAAUGUAUUUUUGUUUUAAAUUCCUCUAGAAAAUCGGCAUGAUUGGAUUAUUUUAUGAUAUUGUUUUGUUAUUGUUAGCAGUUUGGUUAAGAUGCUACAGUAUUUCCUGAGUAUAUCAAAUUAAAGCAGCAAUGUAGAUGUGUUUGUGCAUCAGGAGUGUUGUUAGUGUAUCUGCCUGUUUCAGUGUAGAGUUUAUGCCCACUGGUGCGAAAACAACUAAGUCUUUUUCUUUUUUCAUCAUCUUGAACAACAUCCAGAUAUUUUUCCGUUUUAAAUGUAUUUUUGAACUGGCAAUAGGUGCUGGAUUUAGAUUUGUCCUUAAGUUAACUGUGCAAGUACGAAGCCACUGAUGAUGUGUUUUUUAAAUGUGCUAAGGAAUUUUAUGUGAGGAUUCGACAAUAUUACACCUCCAAAUCCGUUUCCAAUAGGAGUUUCAUGAUACCUUCACUCCAUGAGAAGUUACCAUCUUUCAGAUUUGACAAGCUUUUUGUUGAGAGUAAUUUGUAAUAUUAUAAUUCAUCUAUAGAUAUGCUUGUUUAGGUAGGUUGUUAUCAUCCAAGUGUUAUAUUUUAAGCCAAAAUUUUAUUAAUUGUAUUUUAAUCUUUAUGUGAGCAAGAAUUCUUCCAGUCUCUCCUCUUCCUGCAUACUUUGGUGAUAAAAGUUGUUUACAAAACCUGAGGUUAAGUUUUUACAAUUUUUACUGUUAGAGUAGUAUAACCUCAUAACUCUGAUGAGUAUGUUCAUGACUCCAUAAUGCCCCAGCUUUGGACAGAUGUUAUUAAGUCUGUAAUUUUCAUUGUUUCUUGAGCACAAACAUUUGGUUUUAUGGUCUCAUUGCCCGAGUAAAAUGGUCAUGGGAUAUUUUAUUUGAUUUUGAAAUCCUUCGGUAUGCAGGUUACUUUAGUCGGGGAAGCACG